This 2469-nucleotide long non-coding RNA is filed under the name Homo sapiens (human). Its description in RNAcentral is "non-protein coding EWSAT1:22". The record is from RNAcentral. Lineage: Eukaryota; Metazoa; Chordata; Mammalia; Primates; Hominidae.
AGCAGAGCUCAGGCCACAGCACCUGCACCCGUUUUCUGCUGCUGCACACAAGGGCUCUGUGCAUUCCGCAUCCAGGUGUGCCCCUCCUCUUCUGGAGGAUUCUUUUUCAGGCUGUCCCAGAGACUUUGCAGCACAGCAUCCUUGCUCUAUUUCUUCCUGCAACAUCUCUGCUGAAGCUCUAUUGCUUUUGGCAACUCUUCCGUCUAUUUUGUGGUUUAGGUGUCUCCUACUUUUACUAAAAAUGGAAUUUGUGUUUUUAUCGCUCAAGUCCUUUUUGCUUUUGGAUUACUUCCAGAAAAUGAAGGGAGGGUUACUAACUUUAUGCCAUCUUCAAACCAGAAGAUCUUAGAUUAGUAAGAUCAUGUUGGCCAUGGCAUGGAGAAUGGGCUGGAGGUGGAGAGACUGGAGGUUGGAAGUCCAGUUAGGAGAUUGCUCCUGCGCUGGGGAGUUGGUGUUAGGACAGAAGAUCCAAGACGCGUUUCAGAGAGCCCCUCUUCUUGGGCCUGCGAUUCCUCACCUGGAAGGGAGAAGAGUGGACUUCCUGCCUAGAGAACACCUUGGUAAACUCUUUGUGGUUCCUGUCAUGAGAAGGUGUGCAGCUUAGGGAAAAAGCCUGUGAGCUCUGGAAUCAGAUGGAACUGGAUAUGAAUUUCCAUUUAGUGCUUGUUGGAUUAAAUGUGAUGCUACUUCUCCCAGCCGAAAGAAUAAAACUGGUAAGAGGAAGGGAAAUGCAGCCUCAGUAAGGAGGCCUCCAUUCUGGAAGGGCUUCCCAGGCCCAGAGAAGGGAGAAAGUAAUUUGGAACCACCCAAGUAUUGGUGAUGCCAGGCCUCACCCUACCCUGGGGAUAUUUGAAUCUCAAAAAGGGAGCAUGGGAAUCUGACAAAGCACUUGCAUGUAUAAAGAACUCCUCCAAAUCAACAAGGCAAAAACCUCAUUAGAUACAUAGGCAAAAACCUCAGAAGAGCCACAUCACAAAGGAGCACCUCCAAAUGGCCAAGAAGCAUAUGAAAAUAUGUUCAAUCUCAUUAGCCAACAGGGAAUUCAAAUUAGAACUACACCAGGAUGGCUGAAAGUGCAAAGACUGACAAUAUCAAGGGCUGGUGGGGAUGCAGAACAACUGGAACUCUCCUAUGCACUGCGGAAGGGGUAAAUUAAUACCGCCCCUUUGGAAGAACAGUUUAGAAGCAUCACUAAAGCUGAAUAUAUUCAUGCCUACUCCGGAAAUCCUGAGCCCAGGUAUAUAUCUAACAGAAGUUUGUUUAUAAAGGCACCAAAAGUCAAUUACACAAGAUACAAGAAUGUUCAUAGUAGAGCCGUUUGUAUUAGUCAUAAACUGGAAACCACCCAAAUGCCCAUCAGUGUGGCUCCCUUUGAAGAACUGCCUUGGGGUUCAUGUUGCAGCAUCAAACAGGGAUGGAAGAUGCAUCUUGCUUUAGCAGCAGGAGCCUGGAAAGCAGCUGAAGCCCUGGAGGGUGCCUGGCACACAGAAUCUUGUGCUGAGCCCGGAGCACAAUGGGAGCGGGCUGGCGGGGUGGGUUCACAGCUGGACUGGGAGCAGCAGACAUACAGGCCGUAGGCACAGACAUAUAAAGACAGUCAUGCAGAUUGCAGGAUGCCUGAGAGCACAGACUCUCACAUGCACAAAUACGUGCAUGAUCGCCAGUGUGCAUCCAGACAGCCCCACAUGCAUGCACACGCAUGCACACAUGUGAUGUGUACAUAGAUGGACACAUGUCUAUGCCCACAAACACUGCAGAGACACAGAAGUGUCUGGCAAGGAACACUAUUUUGUCCUCAAUUUUCUGCCAGUGAGAGUCUACUGACUCCAUCUCUGAAAUGUCUCUACUUAUUGUCCCUCUUCUCCACCUGCACCACAUCCCUAGUCCCUGAAACUCCCACCGAGACCCCUGGGCAAUAGCAAAGUCUGCACAGGAUUCCUGCUCCGCCUCUACCCCACCCUUAAGCCCAUCCUACAUGCAAGAGCAGGAGUUAUCUGGGUAUCAAGCAAAUCUGACCACAUCACCUCCCCACUGCUUAAAACCCUUUCCUACAGGAUGAAGUUGAAAUCACUUGACAUCCCAUAUAAGGCCCUUGACUGUCUGGCAUCAGCCAUAGUCUGGCCUCAGGCCCUGGCAUGGAGUCCCCUGGACUCAGUGCUCUGGCUGAGGGCCUCCAGGAUGAAGAUACCCUGUGCAAAGCCUCACACUUUUGCUGUUGCUGGGCUCACUGUGUGAAAUUCCCUCCUCCCUCCUUCCACCUUCCCUAUGCUGAACUGCCACUCCUCCAUCCUCCAUGGCCAGCUAAGCCAACACCUCCCCACUUCCUCCUGACAACCCAGGCACAGCCACUGACCUGUCCCAUGGCUGUCACAGCCCUUUCUUGGGCUCUCAAUGGUAUCAUUGUCACCUGUGUGCUCAUGAGCCUCUGCCACUCAACUCCAAGCACAUCAAAUAAAGAGCUCAAAACAU